RNAcentral lists this transfer RNA (59 nucleotides) under Deroceras reticulatum. RNAcentral describes it as "tRNA-Asp". The record is from RNAcentral. Lineage: Eukaryota; Metazoa; Mollusca; Gastropoda; Stylommatophora; Agriolimacidae.
GUUUAUCUAGUUUAAAAAAAAUAUUUAUUUGUCAAGUAAAAGAUACAGUGUGAUAGAGU